CAGUCGCCGCGGGAAUACGAAGGGUGCAAGCGUUAAUCGGAAUUACUGGGCGUAAAGCGUGCGUAGGCGGUUUGUUAAGUCUGUUGUGAAAUCCCCGGGCUCAACCUGGGGAUGGCAAUGGAUACUGGCAAGCUAGAGUGUGUCAGAGGAUGGUGGAAUUCCCGGUGUAGCGGUGAAAUGCGUAGAGAUCGGGAGGAACAUCAGUGGCGAAGGCGGCCAUCUGGGACAACACUGACGCUGAGGCACGAAAGCGUGGGGAGCAAACAGGAUUAGAUACCCGUGUAGUCCCUGUCUCUUAUAC
RNAcentral lists this ribosomal RNA (301 nucleotides) under uncultured bacterium. Its description in RNAcentral is "partial 16S ribosomal RNA". It matches the Rfam family "Bacterial small subunit ribosomal RNA", at positions 509 to 807 of the family's 1533-position model. The record is from RNAcentral.